Long non-coding RNA from Homo sapiens (human), 391 nucleotides. Lineage: Eukaryota; Metazoa; Chordata; Mammalia; Primates; Hominidae. The record is from Ensembl.
GGGAGGCGCAUUGCAAACUUCCAGGUUCCGCGGCCCGAGAGGAAGGUUUUCUGGAGCGGGGAACGCGGAGAGGAGCCGGGGUCACCAGUGCCUCGCGCACCGCGGUGCUGCGCAGGCCGCGGGCAUACGGGGGUGAGGACCCCGGGCGUUGGACAGCGGACCCGACGCCCACCUUCCUCUCCAGACUCCCGCCCCCAGGAGCCAGAGCCCCAGCGCUUCCUCUGCCUCCCAUUCCUUCUCUGAGCGCCGCCCCCGCCUCCCCACUUGCGGGACGCUGAGUCUCCUAAUUUACAGCGAUUUCCCACAGCCACUUCUAACUACAUCGAGAUUUUAUUAAACGUUUAAUGAUGGGGUGCGGGGGCCUUCUGGCUACACACUCCCCUCCACACUC